GACGAACCGAGCGAACGUUGUUCGGAAUCACUGGGCUUAAAGGGCGCGUAGGCGGGUGCUCAAGUCCGGGGUGAAAUCCCACAGCUCAACUGUGGAACUGCCUCGGAUACUGGGCGUCUCGAGGGUGGCAGGGGUAUGCGGAACUAUCGGUGGAGCGGUGAAAUGCGUUGAUAUCGAUAGGAACUCCGGUGGCGAAGGCGGCAUACUGGACCACCUCUGACGCUGAGGCGCGAAAGCCAGGGGAGCAAACGGG
RNAcentral lists this ribosomal RNA (253 nucleotides) under uncultured bacterium. RNAcentral's name for it is "partial 16S ribosomal RNA". It matches the Rfam family "Bacterial small subunit ribosomal RNA", at positions 524 to 776 of the family's 1533-position model. The record is from RNAcentral.